CAACCCUCAAGCUCUGCUUGGUAUUAGGCGUCGCCUGUCAAGGCGCGCCCCAAAACUAGUGGCGGUGCCAUCUGGCUUCAAGCGUAGUAAUUCUUCUCGCUUCGGAGAACCAGUUGUGUGCUCGCCAACAACCCCAAAUUUUAUCAA
Molecule: unclassified non-coding RNA, 147 nt
Filed under: uncultured Leotiomycetes
Lineage: Eukaryota; Fungi; Ascomycota; Leotiomycetes
Description: sequence contains ITS2
Source: RNAcentral